Molecule: ribosomal RNA, 420 nt
Filed under: Fusobacteriota bacterium
Lineage: Bacteria; Fusobacteriati; Fusobacteriota
Description: Fusobacteria bacterium partial 16S ribosomal RNA
Rfam family: Bacterial small subunit ribosomal RNA
Source: RNAcentral
UGGGGGAUAUUGCACAAUGGGCGAAAGCCUGCUGCAGCGACGCCGCGUGGGGGAUGAAGGCCUUCGGGUUGUAAACUUCUUUUGCUCUGAACAAGGCAUGCCUUUGGGGUGUGUUGAGUGUAGGGGUUGAUUAGCGCCGGCUAACUACGUGCCAGCAGCCGCGGUAAUACGUAGGGCGCGAGCGUUGUCCGGAAUUAUUGGGCGUAAAGGGCUUGUAGGUGGCUGGUUGCGUCUGGCGUGAAAGCUCAUGGCUUAACUGUGGGUUUGCGGUGGGUACGGGCUGGCUUGAGUGCAGUAGGGGGGGCUGGAAUUCCUGGUGUAGCGGUGGAAUGCGCAGAUAUCAGGAGGAAUACCGGUGGCGAAGGCGGGUCUCUGGGCUGUUACUGACGCUGAGGAGCGAAAGCGUGGGGAGCGAACAGG